RNAcentral lists this ribosomal RNA (409 nucleotides) under uncultured bacterium. RNAcentral describes it as "bacterial SSU rRNA". It matches the Rfam family "Bacterial small subunit ribosomal RNA", at positions 509 to 916 of the family's 1533-position model. The record is from RNAcentral.
CAGCCGCCGCGGUAAUACGGAGGGUGCAAGCGUUGUUCGGAAUUACUGGGCGUGAAGCGCGUGUAGGCGGCCUUGCAAGCCAGACGUGAAAGCCCUCGGCUUAACCGGGGAAGUGCGUCUGGAACUGCUCGGCUCGAGUACGGGAGAGGGAGGCGGAAUUCCCAGUGUAGAGGUGAAAUUCGUAGAUAUUGGGAGGAACACCGGUGGCGAAAGCGGCCUCCUGGACCGAUACUGACGCUGAGACGCGAAAGCGUGGGGAGCAAACAGGAUUAGAUACCCUGGUAGUCCACGCGGUAAACGAUGGGCACUAGGUGUGGGGGGUAUCCACUCCUCCCGUGCCGCAGCUAACGCACUAAGUGCCCCGCCUGGGGAGUACGGCCGCAAGGUUAAAACUCAAAGGAAUUGACGG